AGAACAAUUGAGAUGUAUUCUCAUACUCGAUGGAAUCAGAUAAGUAGGAACGAUCAACAAACUGCAAGUAGUACACGUUUCUUAUCUUAACAAAUACAAUAAUAUUCGUAUUAAAAUAUUAUUUACAGGCUCCACAUAUAUCUCAACACAAACAAAUACACAAAUGCUUGACAGGUGACUGGGCCAAGUGCAUUCACUCGUAGGACCUAUCAUUUCGAUGAUCGCCUCGAUUCCACGAAACCAGUGCACAAGUAAACUGACAUAAGCUAGUCUCAUCUGGUGAAUGCAUGUAAUCUGAAAACCCCAGACACGAGAGGACGAGACGGACAGACUGGACUCGACGAGGCCUAGUUUAGAGUUUUUGGGCAUUCUGCAAUGCACGCUAUAUCAAAGCCGGAAAUAUCCUGCUGACCGAACGGGGCGUAGACAAGCUAGCCGAUGGGGAUAGAGCAGCUAUCAAAUGCCCUGCCAAUAGUUUUGGAGGAUGAUUUUUACAGGAUGGCCCCGGAAGUGAUUCAAGCGACGUAUGAAGGACAGUAUGAUGGCAAGGUGGAUCACUCGGAAUUUCCUGUAUCGAACUGAUGGAACGGAAACCUCCCUACUUCAACAUGAAUGAAAUGUCGGCGUUGUAUCACAUUGCGCAAAAUGAGGCCCACGUUGCAGGCUAUGGACUGGGCAGAUGUAUUCCGCAGUUUGUUUUUUAUUUGAAGAAAUCCUCAGUAGAGUGACCAAACUCUAAUAAACUGUAAACUCAUUCAUUAAGAACUAGGAUACGAUCACCAAAUGUGUUAAUUGAUUUGAUAGCAUGAACGAAAGCUGCCGUUAGAAAAUUGGACAAUCUGAACUACAGGAAGAUGAAAAAAAUUAAUGGUCGACUCUUGCGAAACGUAAGUAACGUCGGCGACGCGGACACACCGGACGAGCGAAGCGGUGACAACAGUAGCAAAAAUAGCAGUAUCACCUCAGAACAUUCACUACACUCGAUGGACCAGCAUGGCGGAAUUAUACGGAAUGCUUCAAAGCAUCGGUUGCCAGGAUCCGGGUUGCCACCAAUGCACAACAGCAGUAUGAACAUCUCUAGUAGUCGGAACGGUUUGAUAACUGACGAUGGUAUUGGUCGGAUGGGUUUCGGAAUUAGUGGAGGCAAGUAGAAGUUAUUCUGAUUCCGGGAGCAUCAGUGCCCAAGGUACGGGUUACCAAAACUUGUUUAGCCCCGUUGUAUCUUAUCACCAUUCACAUCAUAAUCACGUGUCUCAAGCGACUGCUAAUGAUUUUGCCGAAAAUGGUGCCAAUAACUUUGCUACCAUUAGAACGACCAGUAUUGUGAAGAAGCAGCAAAAGAAAAAUAUGCAAGAUUUGUUUGACUAUCGUAUUAAAAAUGGUUGUGUUGAUUAACUUUUUUUAUCUUGUUAGCGUAAAUUAGCGUUGGUGAAACAAGAGAAAACAUGUAAAAUGGAAAUGGAGCAGCAUAAAGUAGCUCUAGACCAUGAAUAUGAUCUGCUAUUAUAUAAUGUUAUUAGAGAACUAGAGAAAUUAUCGGUAUUUAGCACAAUGGUGUAACAGAUGCUUCAAUCCAGGCUAAACAUCAGCAAGAAAUUGAACGCAGGACGAAGCAAAAAAACGUUGUGAGAAACAACUUUACAAAGAAAUAUUGGCACCACAUGAAGGAAACUGGAAGGCAUUUGAUUUGCAUAAAAAAGAAUACAAAGCGAAUAAGGAACGCUGGAAGUGCGAACUGUCGAUGGACGAGUCUACUACCAAGCGACAAUGUUAGGCUGCUUUAGACAUUAAAAAGAAUGACAUGAAGCAAGCGAAGACUAAAGAAGAGCAACAAAUGCUGCGGAUACUAAACAACUACAUCGAGCUAGAAAUGCGCAAAUUCCGGAGGAAAAAGAUUAUGCUUUUGCACGAGCUGCACAGAGAUUUACGUUCACUUUGAUCUGAUGGACUCAACUGCUUUAACACCAUGGCCAUUGUUUGAUUUUGUUUGCAACGAGAAUUGAGCAAGAAGCAGCAGGUGAUAUCUUAAAAACACGAGAGCGAGCUACGUACAUGGACCGGGUCGCACGGGAGCUGAUGGUGAAGCAUGCGCUAGCGCUCAAGUAGCAACCCAAAAGUCUGAAGGUAAACUAAAACGUGUAAAACUUAAGUAUAAGAAACUGAAUGUUCAAGUCCUGCCGAAAACGCCUAAAAAUGAGCAAAAAGCUGUGAUAAAGCCAUUGAAAGAAGAAAAACAUCGCAAGUUAACGGUGAUCAGGAAGGAACAAAGUAUUGCCGAUAUCGUGCAGAAGCAAAGCUUACGACUCUAUGUAAGUCAGGAAGUCGAAGGACCGGCUGCAGUAUGAAUUGAACACUCUUGGCACUUACCAGAGUAAGAACCGCGUGCAAGCAGAAGCUCAGCGGGAUCGUGAAUGAGUUCAAUCGGUUUCUGGCGGACAAUAUUAACGUGUUCAAUUUUUUUUUCAAUUCGUUUAUUUGAUAAGGCAGGUUUGCGUUAGUUUAAAGGUGCCAAUUUUGUUUUGUUUUACAUUUUAAAUUACUUAAAACUAGGGGCUUACAUAUUGAUUUUUGAAAUUAAACUAAGGCUAAUUUAUAGCUAUACAUAUACACAGGGGGGUAGUAUAAUUUUCGUAAGAUUAGAGGGGUCAUUUAGUUUUUAUGGCAAUAUGGUUUGACAUUUUUAGCAAUGAGAUUAUUGGAGCAAAUAAUGUUUAACUAAGGGGGAAAAUUUUUACGACUAUCUUAAAAGUAGAAAUAAUUAGAGGGCGUGAUUAAAUUUUGUAAAGAUUCGGAGACAUUAAUUAGAGUUAUUUUAUGUGGUAGUAGAGUUGGGCAUUUUCAACGAGAUCAUAUAAUAUAAUAGUUAAAACUAGAAAAGGCAAGAAGAGCUAAAUGCUUCAUGAAGAUAUUUGGGGGGAAGGGGUGUUAUUUCUGUGUAU
This is a long non-coding RNA of Topomyia yanbarensis, 2939 nucleotides long. RefSeq lists it as uncharacterized. NCBI's taxonomy places the organism in Eukaryota, Metazoa, Arthropoda, Insecta, Diptera, Culicidae. The transcript has 6 exons. The record is from RefSeq and is a predicted model, not a curated record.